AUGUGGGUUUUCUCAUUUUCUCCUCUGUCACCUUGGAAAGACCGAGGAAGGAGCUGCAUCCUGGCCUGGCUCGUGGAGGAGCCCAGCCCAGGAAAAGCCCUGGAAGCCCAGGCACAACAGCACCACAAGGACACAGCAAAAUCCACACUGAGCCAAGAGCCACAGCCCAGCCUGUCCCCUCAGCCACAGCUCUUCUCUGCCAUGAAUUGUUUCACAGACCUGCAGGAGGCCAAAGCAGCCAAGGCAGAGCUGGAAUCCACGUGCCCAGCACCUGGGGACAGCACAGGGGAUGGAAACCCUGCCAAGAAUUAUUUUAACCUUCCAUAUUUCUGGCAGCAGAACUUCAGCCAAACGGUUCCUACUGAUUUUUCUUGGGUUAUGUCACUCUGCCUCAAGCUGGUUCAGACCAAAACGAUCCACGUGCUCAAAGAGAGAAGGGUGGAGCUUCAGAGGAAAUUCCUGCCCUGUUGGAGGAUUCUGGGAUCUGCACCUGGGCUAAGGAACCCUGUCGGGGCUGCCAUGGGAGCAAGGGGCAGAUGCUGAUGAACUGAGGUUACUUUUGAAAAUAACUUAUUAAAAAUCAUGUGAAAAGCAAUAAGAGUGGCUUUUUCCAUCCCGUUAUUUUAAUCCAGCUGCUGACCUUGUCUCUGGGAAAAUAAUUAUUCUUGACUUCGAAGUGGGGAGGUUUUUUGUGCCAAAGGCAAAUGUCUAUAGAUUUAUACUAUUUGGAAAAAUCAAACGGCUGCAAGCCAAACCAUCCAGAUUAUAAAACACAACCAACCCUCCAGGGAUAAUUUAAAACUGACCCUGCAGCACUGAAAUUCCAACCAUAGAUGAUGCAAAACAUAAUUCACCAUUUUCUUAUCUCCUGGAUGCUCCCAUCAGUGUGGGCUUCAGGGACAAAGACCAGCCAGAGGAGACUGAAAGUAAAAAUAAAAUAAUAAUAAUAAAAAAAAAGUCUCCA
Molecule: long non-coding RNA, 964 nt
Filed under: Cyanistes caeruleus (blue tit)
Lineage: Eukaryota; Metazoa; Chordata; Aves; Passeriformes; Paridae
Description: lncRNA (ENSCCEG00000011035.1)
Source: RNAcentral